GACAGAGGGUGCGAACGUUGCUCGGAAUUACUGGGCGUAAAGCGCGUGUAGGCGGGUGAUCAAGUCAGAUGUGAAAGCCCUGGGCUCAACCCAGGAAUUGCAUUUGAAACUGGUUGCCUUGAGUGCUGGAGAGGGAAGCGGAAUUCCUGGUGUAGAGGUGAAAUUCGUAGAUAUCAGGAGGAACACCGGUGGCGAAGGCGGCUUCCUGGACAGUUACUGACGCUGAGACGCGAAAGCGUGGGGAGCAAACAGG
RNAcentral lists this ribosomal RNA (253 nucleotides) under uncultured bacterium. RNAcentral describes it as "partial 16S ribosomal RNA". It matches the Rfam family "Bacterial small subunit ribosomal RNA", at positions 524 to 776 of the family's 1533-position model. The record is from RNAcentral.